This 88-nucleotide transfer RNA is filed under the name Ruminococcus sp. YE282. RNAcentral's name for it is "tRNA_Tyr_GTA". It matches the Rfam family "tRNA". Rfam says of the family: Transfer RNA (tRNA) molecules are approximately 80 nucleotides in length. Their secondary structure includes four short double-helical elements and three loops (D, anti-codon, and T loops). Lineage: Bacteria; Bacillati; Bacillota; Clostridia; Eubacteriales; Oscillospiraceae. The record is from RNAcentral.
GGGUAGGUAUGCAAGUCUGGUCAAAGCAAGCAGUCUGUAAAACUGUUUCGGCAACGAUUCAAAGGUUCAAAUCCUUUCCUGCCCACCA